UGGGUGCAUAUCAAUAAGCGGAGGAAAAGAAACCAACAGGGAUUGCCCUAGUAACGGCGAGUGAAGCGGCAACAGCUCAAAUUUGAAAUCUGGCUCUCGGGCCCGAGUUGUAAUUUGUAGAGGAUACUUUUGAUGCGGUGCCUUCCGAGUUCCCUGGAACGGGACGCCAUAGAGGGUGAGAGCCCCGUCUGGUUGGAUGCCAAAUCUCUGUAAAGUUCCUUCAACGAGUCGAGUAGUUUGGGAAUGCUGCUCUAAAUGGGAGGUAUAUGUCUUCUAAAGCUAAAUACCGGCCAGAGACCGAUAGCGCACAAGUAGAGUGAUCGAAAGAUGAAAAGCACUUUGAAAAGAGAGUUAAAAAGUACGUGAAAUUGUUGAAAGGGAAGCGUUUAUGACCAGACUUGGGCUUGGUUAAUCAUCUGGGGUUCUCCCCAGUGCACUUUUCCAGCUCAGGCCAGCAUCAGUUUUCCCCGGGGGAUAAAGGCGGAGGGAAUGUGGCUCUCUUCGGGGAGUGUUAUAGCCCACCGUGUAAUACCCUGGGGGGGGUGGUUCGCGCAUCGCAAGGAUGCGGCGAAGGUACAAUCAGU
Molecule: ribosomal RNA, 584 nt
Filed under: Fusarium oxysporum
Lineage: Eukaryota; Fungi; Ascomycota; Sordariomycetes; Hypocreales; Nectriaceae
Description: LSU rRNA
Rfam family: Eukaryotic large subunit ribosomal RNA
Source: RNAcentral